UACGUAGGUGGCGAGCGUUGUCCGGAUUUAUUGGGCGUAAAGCGAGCGCAGGCGGUUUCUUAAGUCUGAUGUGAAAGCCCCCGGCUCAACCGGGGAGGGUCAUUGGAAACUGGGAGACUUGAGUGCAGAAGAGGAGAGUGGAAUUCCAUGUGUAGCGGUGAAAUGCGUAGAUAUAUGGAGGAACACCAGUGGCGAAGGCGGCUCUCUGGUCUGUAACUGACGCUGAGGCUCGAAAGCGUGGGGAGCAAACAGGAUUAGAUACC
RNAcentral lists this ribosomal RNA (263 nucleotides) under uncultured Enterococcaceae bacterium. Its description in RNAcentral is "partial 16S ribosomal RNA". It matches the Rfam family "Bacterial small subunit ribosomal RNA", at positions 524 to 786 of the family's 1533-position model. The record is from RNAcentral. Lineage: Bacteria; Bacillati; Bacillota; Bacilli; Lactobacillales; Enterococcaceae.